CACGCUCGCCGGCGCUCCGCUGGCCUCGCGGGGCUUUGGCCACCCGCGGCUGACGUCGGCGCGCCCCUGCCGAGCUAUCCUUUUACUACAGCCCGCCGGCGGCUUUGUGCCGGCCCCGCCCUCACCGGCCCCCGCCCCCCGCGAGCCCGUACCUUGUGGUCUAUAUAGAAGGCGCUGCCGCGCCGAUUCUCGGCUCUCCGGGACCGAGAGUUCUUUGGAAGCAGAGCGCGAGCGAGGGAGCGGGCGAGCUCCUAGGGGGUGUGGGUGUAGGGAGAGAGAGAGCAGGCAGAGGCGGCGGUGGCAGAGCUGGGGAACAGCGGAUUCCGCCCGGAGCCACACCGAGGGGAGCUUGCGGUCGCGACUUGCCGCCCUAAGCACUGUCCCAAGUCCGGCCCGCUCGGCGAGGACUUCCGUCUCCUGGCCGAACCCUGUCAAGCAAGCUGGGAUCUAUGAGUGGAAAGGUGACCAAGCCCAAAGAGGAGAAAGAUGCUUCUAAGGGUAUAAUUCACUUGAUCAGGUGCUUUGAGCUCGGCUCUGUGCUGCAUGCAAGAGAACAGAGACACGUGGGAUGUUGUCACUGCAGGUACCUAUGGGGAUGCCCAAGGAGUGUGUCCCUUUACUCAUCAGCCAUUCAUGCUUUCAUCAGGCAUCUCAUAAAGGUCUCAUUUGCGUCUCACUCCAGUGCUGGAUGCUGGGCAUACAAAAAUAAAUCCAACCAAAGAAGUCCA
RNAcentral lists this long non-coding RNA (728 nucleotides) under Bos indicus x Bos taurus (hybrid cattle). Its description in RNAcentral is "lncRNA (ENSBIXG00000007027.1)". The record is from RNAcentral. Lineage: Eukaryota; Metazoa; Chordata; Mammalia; Artiodactyla; Bovidae.